UCAGGCAUAGAAACGGUUUUCCAAUUAGGAAGAGGUGGUUGUGGGGUGUAAGAGCAAUCAUCGCUAAGGAGGGAGAAAGGCAUGGUGCUCAGCAAAGCUGUAGGCAGCGCUGGGGCUGGAGGUGUCUGACGGGCCGGGGGAGCCACGUCACGGGAUAUUUUUAAGGGAAGGCCAGACAAAAGCUGCCAACUCGGCCAUCCCUGGUUCAUCGCGCAGACGCUCAGCGCACGCUGGCCGUGGGAUUUUUUCCAGCCAGCGUCAGCAGCCCCGUCCUGGCCGAGCAGCCCCGAUGCCGGUGCAGGAAUUCCUUGUCGGGCACAGGGGCUGUUAGGGGUGUGUGGACACAGUGAAGGAUGUGGGCUUUUUUCCUUGCUAUUUAUAGCUCGGGCUGGUGAUAUUUUGCAGCUUGGGCAUGGUGUAGAUCAAACGUUAAACAACUGAACCGAUCCCUGUGUAGUCUGUGCACGGCAGUUUGUUGGCCAGGGCUGAUGGGAUUUGUGUGAUGGCACCCGGGAUGCUUUGGGUCCCCGGUCCCCGUUCCCCUCCCCUGUUCCAGAAAAGCUGUUGGGGCUGAGGGCAGGCACAAUGGUGAUGCCCUGGCCUCUCCUUCCCCACACUCUGGCUCUGCCCCACAGGAUACUUUCCCUACGAGAGAGCUGGGGCCAUGACGAACUUUCCCGAACCGAUUUUUGGACCAAAGCCUCCCCCGCCAGGGCCGGCAGAGGAGCAGCUGCUGCUGACACACACGGACCCCAUGCCUUCGCACGACCCCGGCGAGCGUGCCGUAAGCGUGCAGCGGGAAUACGGGUACCCGUCGGUGGUGGCACGCUGUCCUGCCGUGCCGUGGAGGCCAUCGGAGGGGCAGGAGUGGCGAUUACCUGAGCUGACCGCAUCUCGUGGGCUCGUCACCUCGCCAGCAGGACUCAGGCAGCCUGUAAAAAUUGAAGGUGUGACUCUGCCAGGAGUGACUGAAGCUGCAGGGUGUAGAGAGAAAUGAUCGGCUACCAAAGCUGGAUGUACCGAACGUGAUCCAGCAGAAAGUCAUCUCAGGGUACACCGGAUACAUACCCCGCUUCACCUGGAUGACUGGUGUUAACUACUUGCAGGGCGUGAAGGACGCCAUGGCUGAAUUUGACAGACAUCAGGUAGAGUCACGCACAAAUCUUAUUUCAAUGAUAUAAUGUUGGUCUCGAGUCAUCUGCAGCACCACAGGCAGUUGCAUUUGCUGCAGCAGUAUUUGAGCUGGGGUUAUAAGUACAAGCAAAAUAAAACGCUAUUAGGUAACACGUUGAAAAAAUCAUGAGCAAUUAAAUUCUGUAACUUAAUGUCCCAAGGAAACAAGGGAGGAUAAAUGAGUUCAUAAAAGGAUUAAGCAAAUCUAUUGAGGGUUGGUUUAAGGGUGGCUAUUAAAAGUGCUGCUCUGGGUGCACAAACGCAGGAUCCAGCUAUCUGCACUCCCCUUAUGCAAUAUAUCCUCUGGUACCUGGAUGGCUUCCUGGGCUUCUUGGAUGGAUAUUCCUCCUUUUCAAGUGUUGUAGAGAUUUUUCCUUUACUAACGUAACUUGUCUUAAAAGGAUUUAGAUCUUCUCAUUUUCUGUGUCCAUCCCAAAAAGCAGAGAAAUAUCCCUAUUGAAAAAAAUCUCCUAUUUUGCCCCCUUGCUGUAAGAUCCCCCCACUACAAAGCCGUAUGACCCUCCUACAUGGGAAAACGAGACCCCUCCCACCCCAAUUAGCAGAUUGCAUCCAAAGCCACACAGGUCCCUCCUGCUACCAGAAUGGUGUGAGAGCCCCGGGAUGCUGCAGCCUUGCUGGGUGAGUGCCAGUGAGCACCGAUGGGCUCAGUGACAGCUCAUUUUAAAAGCAGGCUGCAAAAUUUUUCACCCUUUCUGGUGAGCAGGAUUCGCUGUGGUGCCUUUGUCCCAGAGCGUGGGGGUCGGAUGUAGGAAAAGGUGCAAGCCCGAAGGACCCCCUGGCUGGGAAGAAAUGGCUCUGUGGGGACUGCAGUGGGGCUGUCGGGAUCAGGGUGCCUGGUAGCAUCCUGAUGCUUUGGCUGAAAUGUCUGAAGAUUUUUCUUGUGUGGCUUCCUUCGCCUUCCCUUCUGUGGUUAAUAGAAAUAGAAAUAAAGCAAAGAGAACAAAAAGCAGACGAUAUUACAACUAAAAGUGCUGCUUGCAAAUCACUUCUGCCCUGAUUUUUUAAGAAAUAUGUGCCAGUGAAGGAGGUGGAUGGUGUUUCUCCAUUGCAGGGGUCAGAAAAAUUCAGGCUUGCAGAGGUUUUUUGCAGUGCAGGAGGCACUGAAGGAAUGAAUGUAAGCACACUAAAAAAAAAAAAAAUAAUAAAUCACAGCACAUUUCUAUCUAAGAUGGCUUCUGCCUUCAAGCCACUAAUCUUCUGCCCUAAAUCUCUGUUGCCCUAGGUUACGUGCUAGGAUGCGCCACGGAGCGUUUCUUACUGGCUGCAUCGGGCAAAAUAAUGCAAUCCUCUCGCUUCAGCGCUGCCCUGGGCAGGCAGGAGGAUUGCACCGCCGCAACCCGUGCGGUCACACAAGGGUUCGAUGGCCCCGGCAGCUCGCGUGGCUCCCUCAACCCUCCCUUUACCACCGAGCAGGGGCCGCGCUAACGAGGCAGCGGGGCUUUUCUGAGGGCUUUUGGGGUUUUGCCACCCCAAGGAUGUGAGCCCCGCACUGUCCUUUGGCGCAGCGUUAGCGGGGUCUGACCUCCGGGGCAGGUGACGGAGGAAGAUUUCACUCUCCCUUCCGUUAACGCGCCCUAAGCCUUCCUCUUCCUCCUAGGCUGGGAAUUACGGGCUAAUCGCUGUCAGUGGGACGCACGGAGAAAACAAAACCAGUUCAGGGGCUCACACCAAAACGAGGCACGCAUCCCGCUGCGGCAGCUCCGUGAGCUGUGGCCCAAGCCCAGAUGCGAUGGCUGCAACCUAGCUUUAAAUUAGAAGGAAAGGGAACUGGUGAGAGAAUUGCUUCUCAUCAGCCCAAGUAUUUCCUUUAAUUAGGACACGGCUUGGGUAGCAGUGUUUUACAACUCCUGCUGCUGGGUUUUGUUUUCCAGUUCCUGCAGCGAUACCCGGCUCACAGCUUCGGCAAGAGAUUUCCCCAAACUUACUGGCCUGACAACAGAAUUUACACCAGUGCUGGACUGAUACCGGCCUACACAGGCUUCGUACCACGUAAGUUCAUCAGUUGAAUGAAAAUGGAAGUCACUAAUUACCAUCAUUAAGUAGUGCUGUUGAUAGCUGCAGCGUCAUGGUAGAGCCCUGCGAUGUUCCACAGGGGCAGUAAAUGUGCCGGGCUGCUGGAGCCGUGCCCCCACCUGUCCCCCCACGGCUGCAUGGCAGCUUCUUCAUCAAGGAAGGGAUUCUGUUCCCGAAAAGCUUAAAGGGUGAUUAAAAAAAAAAAAGCAAAAGGUAGAUGAUGCAAAGGGGUGGAGACUGCACCAAAAGCUGUGAAUUGGUAUAAGCCAUUGCAGGUGGUGGUGGCCCUGUUCUGGCCUGCCAGGCUUUGGGGGUCCCAAAAAGGAGAGGUGUGAAGGGCAGUGUGGGGUCUGGGGUCUGCCCUGAACCAUGAGGAGCGGUGCUCCAGUUGCUCAGCUGGCAACCAGGAGAGCCCAAGGCACAAACACGAGGAGUUGUGUUCUAACGGGGUUCCAGCAGGACUCAGUGCUGAGGCACCGCUGAUCCUGCUAUCAGCGU
Molecule: long non-coding RNA, 3705 nt
Filed under: Anas platyrhynchos (mallard)
Lineage: Eukaryota; Metazoa; Chordata; Aves; Anseriformes; Anatidae
Description: lncRNA (ENSAPLG00020016146.1)
Source: RNAcentral